AACGCGGUCGGCAGGCGUAACACACNCAAGUCGAGCGCACCCUCAAGGGGAGCGGCAGACGGGUGAGUAACGCGUGGGAAUNUGCCCUUUUGUACGGAAUAACCCAGGGAAACUGGGGGUAAUACCGUAUACGCCCUUCGGGGGAAAGAUUUAUCGCCAAAGGAUGAGCCCGCGUUGGAUUAGNUAGUUGGUGGGGUAAUGGCUUACCAAGGCGACGAUCCAUAGCUGGUUUGAGAGGAUGAUCAGCCACACUGGGACUGAGACACGGCCCAGACUCCUACGGGAGGCAGCAGUGGGGAAUAUUGGACAAUGGGGGCAAGCCUGAUCCAGCCAUGCCGCGUGAGUGAUGAAGGCCCUAGGGUUGUAAAGCUCUUCAGCUGGGAAGAUAAUGAC
This 393-nucleotide ribosomal RNA is filed under the name uncultured bacterium. Its description in RNAcentral is "bacterial SSU rRNA". It matches the Rfam family "Bacterial small subunit ribosomal RNA", at positions 32 to 455 of the family's 1533-position model. The record is from RNAcentral.